This 858-nucleotide long non-coding RNA is filed under the name Cicer arietinum (chickpea). RNAcentral's name for it is "long non-coding RNA (CARI_LNC000627)". Lineage: Eukaryota; Viridiplantae; Streptophyta; Magnoliopsida; Fabales; Fabaceae. The record is from RNAcentral.
UAUUUUCUUGUUUAGUUGUUCUAACAUGUAUAUUAAAAAAAUAAAAAUCAUACACAAAACAAAAAUUAGAACUCAUAAUCCCCAAAUUUAAUCUCCUUUGCGCGAAGAGAACUCGAUUUCACACCACAAAUAUGCCAAUGGAUUAAGAUGUGGCGGUUCUCCCUUUAGCGAAGAGAAUAACUCGAUUUCAUAUUUCAGCAGGUUUUCUGCACCGUGGAGAAGCAUUAUCGUCAAGCAAACGUCGUUGUCAUUUCUAUCUCUUCCCUUUCCGUCGAGAACUAUGACAAUCGUUUCUUUUUCUUUUUCUCUCUCCGUGAAGAAGUGUUGCAUAUUUCGUUUUUUUCUCUUUUCCUUCGUCUUCUUCCCUUUGCUUUUGUUUUAACCUAAACCCUAAGUCGAUGUUCUCUUUUCCUUCUCUUUGCUGAACACAAGAAGCCAACAAUUUUGAAUCAAACUUGGUGUUUCUCCCAAAGUAGUUUGUUCCUUUCUCAACUCUUUCAAUUUUAAAUUUAUAUAUUUUUCCUUGUUAUUCUAGUUUAUUUCUUAUUGAUUUUCAUUUUAGAUCAUUUACCUAGAUAUUUAUUUUUUCCUAUUUGGUUAGUUGUGGUUGAAAAACCGUGAGAAUAUUAUCCACUUAUUAUAAUUUUAUUUAUUAAUUUUAGAUUGUUGUUAGGAUUUGGUGCUCUUUUAAGUUUUUAUUAUUCAUUGAGAAUGUGUUAGACAUGAGAUUGCUAUUUCAUUGAGAUUGUUGUCAGAUACUUUAACUUAUGUUGUUAAGUUGACUACAACAACCAUCCGAUUUGUUCAGUUUGAGUAGUAGCUUUUUGGCCGUUUGCUGCUGAGCUACUCCACAAGCAG